This 610-nucleotide ribosomal RNA is filed under the name uncultured bacterium. RNAcentral describes it as "bacterial SSU rRNA". It matches the Rfam family "Bacterial small subunit ribosomal RNA", at positions 338 to 952 of the family's 1533-position model. The record is from RNAcentral.
CCUACGGGAGGCAGCAGUGAGGAAUAUUGGACAAUGGGCGCAAGCCUGAUCCAGCCAUGCCGCGUGCAGGAAGAAGCAUCUAUGGUGUGUAAACUGCUUUUGUACAGGAAGAAACACUCCCUCGUGAGGGAGCUUGACGGUACUGUAAGAAUAAGGACUGGCUAACUCCGUGCCAGCAGCCGCGGUAAUACGGAGGGUCCGAGCGUUAUCCGGAAUCAUUGGGUUUAAAGGGUCCGUAGGCGGUUUAAUAAGUCAGUGGUGAAAUCUGGUCGCUCAACGAUCAAACGGCCAUUGAUACUGUUAGACUUGAAUUAUAAGGAAGUAACUAGAAUAUGUAGUGUAGCGGUGAAAUGCUUAGAUAUUACAUGGAAUACCAAUUGCGAAGGCAGGUUACUACUUAUGGAUUGACGCUGAUGGACGAAAGCGUGGGGAGCGAACAGGAUUAGAUACCCUGGUAGUCCACGCCGUAAACGAUGGAUACUAGCUGUUCGGAGCAAUCUGAGUGGCUAAGCGAAAGUGAUAAGUAUCCCACCUGGGGAGUACGUUCGCAAGAAUGAAACUCAAAGGAAUUGACGGCUGAGAGAGCGAGGACGACGACGAGGGAGGAGGG